AAAUGACAGUAGAAAAGAGCAUAAAAAGAUGCAGUUAAAAAUAAAGACUAGUUAAAAGUUUCUCUGUCUCUGUUGAGAACAAAAAAUAUAAAGAAAAGCAGAGGAUAAGAGAACAGGGGAAGGAAGAGAGAGUAGUUUUAGUUUUCUGGGUUUGGGAAUCGUUGUAAGACAGAGAAGAAAGGGUGUAAGAGAAUCUGAGUCCUAAACAUGGUAAAACACAUGAAGUAGUGAUUUGCAUAGAUUCACUUUUUAUCUUUUCUUUUUUCAACUUCCCCAAACCACAUCAACCAAACCUCUCAUCACAUAAUAACCCCUCUCAUUCCAUCACCUUUUUCCUUCUUUAUCCACUACCUACAUCUUUAUUCUCACACUACUCAGAAAGAAAAAUAGAAACUAGUAGUGAGAGAGUUCAAAAUAUCAAUAAUAAAGGUGUGUGUGUGCUUUUAUAAAUUAUUAUAUUAUAUCCUUUUUCAGACAAAUAUGCCAAAGUGUUAGGUUUUUGUUUAGCUUAUUAUUUGCAUGUUCCGUACAAUCUUUGCUUAUUGUAAACCCUCUAGACACAUACACUAUCCUUCUAUAUUUGCAACUACCCAAGUGGUGCUGCUCUAUCUUCAAGGGUUCUUGUUUCAUGGAGAAGAAGAGAAACACCACUAGCCUUUGUAGGAGUGUUUCCUUCUUCUUUUUCUUCCUCUCAAUUUUCACUUUCAUCUUAACCAGCUCCAUUAUUACUACAUGUCUAGAUGCUAGCAGAUGUACCAUGUUUGCCAAAGCUGACAAAGAUUUUCAGGUAUCUAUUCUUUUGUCCAUUCAGUACAC
This 816-nucleotide long non-coding RNA is filed under the name Lupinus mutabilis. Its description in RNAcentral is "partial ncRNA". The record is from RNAcentral. Lineage: Eukaryota; Viridiplantae; Streptophyta; Magnoliopsida; Fabales; Fabaceae.